GGCCCGAUGGCGCAAUGGUAGCGCGUCAGAUUCCAGCGAAUCUAUUUCGAGUCUCCUGAAGGUUAGGCGUUCAAAUCGCCUUCGGGUCA
RNAcentral lists this transfer RNA (89 nucleotides) under Parastagonospora nodorum SN15. Its description in RNAcentral is "Phaeosphaeria nodorum SN15 tRNA-Trp for anticodon CCA". It matches the Rfam family "tRNA". From Rfam's summary of the family: Transfer RNA (tRNA) molecules are approximately 80 nucleotides in length. Their secondary structure includes four short double-helical elements and three loops (D, anti-codon, and T loops). Further hydrogen bonds mediate the characteristic L-shaped molecular structure. tRNAs have two regions of fundamental functional importance: the anti-codon, which is responsible for specific mRNA codon recognition, and the 3' end, to which the tRNAs corresponding amino acid is attached (by aminoacyl-tRNA synthetases). tRNAs cope with the degeneracy of the genetic code in two manners: having more than one tRNA (with a specific anti-codon) for a particular amino acid; and 'wobble' base-pairing, i.e. permitting non-standard base-pairing at the 3rd anti-codon position. The record is from Rfam by way of RNAcentral. Lineage: Eukaryota; Fungi; Ascomycota; Dothideomycetes; Pleosporales; Phaeosphaeriaceae.